Molecule: ribosomal RNA, 1348 nt
Filed under: uncultured Campylobacterota bacterium
Lineage: Bacteria; Pseudomonadati; Campylobacterota
Description: uncultured Epsilonproteobacteria bacterium 16S ribosomal RNA
Rfam family: Bacterial small subunit ribosomal RNA
Source: RNAcentral
AAGUCGAACGAUGAAACAGGUACUUGUACCUGCGGAUUAGUGGCGCACGGGUGAGUAAAGAAUAGAUUACAUGCCUCAUAGACCGGGACAACAGUUGGAAACGACUGCUAAUACUGGAUAUUCCCUACGGGGGAAAGCUUUUGCGCUAUGAGAUUGGUCUAUUUCCCAUCAGCUAGUUGGUAAGGUAAUGGCUUACCAAGGCUAUGACGGGUAGCUGGUCUUAGAGGACGAUCAGCCACACUGGAACUGAGACACGGUCCAGACUCCUACGGGAGGCAGCAGUGGGGAAUAUUGCACAAUGGGGGAAACCCUGAUGCGGCAACGCCGCGUGGAGGAUGACGCAUUUCGGUGUGUAAACUCCUUUUAUAUAGGAAGAUAAUGACGGUACUAUAUGAAUAAGCACCGGCUAACUCCGUGCCAGCAGCCGCGGUAAUACGGAGGGUGCAAGCGUUACUCGGAAUCACUGGGCGUAAAGCGCGCGCAGGCGGGCUGAUAAGUUGGAUGUGAAAGCCUACGGCUCAACCGUAGAACUGCAUCCAAAACUGUCAGUCUAGAGUCUGGGAGGGGAAGAUGGAAUUAGUUGUGUAGGGGUAAAAUCCGUAGAGAUAACUAGGAAUACCAAAAGCGAAGGCGAUCUUCUGGAACAGUACUGACGCUGAGGCGCGAAAGCGUGGGGAGCAAACAGGAUUAGAUACCCUGGUAGUCCACGCCCUAAACGAUGAAUGUUAGUCGUUGGAGAGCUCGUCUCUUCAGUGAUGCAGCUAACGCAUUAAACAUUCCGCCUGGGGAGUACGGUCGCAAGAUUAAAACUCAAAGGAAUAGACGGGGACCCGCACAAGUGGUGGAGCAUGUGGUUUAAUUCGAAGAUACGCGAAGAACCUUACCUGGCCUUGACAUUGAUAGAAUCUUCCAGAGAUGGAGGAGUGCCCUUCGGGGAGCUUGAAAACAGGUGCUGCACGGCUGUCGUCAGCUCGUGUCGUGAGAUGUUGGGUUAAGUCCCGCAACGAGCGCAACCCUCGUGACUAGUUACUAACGGUUCGGCCGAGGACUCUAGUCAGACUGCCUCCGCAAGGAGGAGGAAGGUGAGGACGACGUCAAGUCAUCAUGGCCCUUACGGCCAGGGCGACACACGUGCUACAAUGGGUAGGACAAUGAGACGCGAUACCGCGAGGUGGAGCAAAUCUAUAAACCUACUCUCAGUUCGGAUAGCAGUCUGCAACUCGACUGCUUGAAGCUGGAAUCACUAGUAAUCGUAGAUCAGCCAUGCUACGGUGAAUACGUUCCCGGGUCUUGUACUCACCGCCCGUCACACCAUGGGAGUUGAUAUCACCCGAAGCGGGGAAGCUAA